Molecule: non-coding RNA, 2109 nt
Organism: Lactuca sativa (garden lettuce)
Lineage: Eukaryota; Viridiplantae; Streptophyta; Magnoliopsida; Asterales; Asteraceae
Source: RefSeq, a predicted model, not a curated record
UCACCGUGUUCAUUGGACGCCAUGUCGCCAUUCUCUGAACCGACGCCAUGGAAUUGCGAGACUCGUUCGGCAUCUCUGAACCAACGCCAUGGGAUACUUGUUCGGAAAUAUUGCUUACCAUCACGCCAAUUACCUUCCCGCGAGAUUCUACAGUCCUCCAUACAAAAUAAAUGUUAUCAUUGAAGACGGUUCAUCGUUACCGAUUUCACAGGGGGAAAAUAUUUAUGAGAUGUUUGUCCACUGAAUUAUGAAGCUCGACUUGAGAAAAAGGAAAGGAUGCAUCGGUGGCAAGUAAUUAAGGUGUUUGUUAAAAUGCCCCAACCACAACUAAAUUGAAUAAUUGACUUCUCAUAUCUGUUUUAUGGUAUAUAAGAGACAAAUGAUAUUUUAUUGAUAGAUGGUGCUAUUAUUUUUCAUAAAUUAACAUGAAAUUGACUUUUUAGUCUAACCCUGGUUACAAACUUAUGUGCCAUGUUGCUCUUGCCCACGAAGGACAUUGCAUACCUGGAGAGGUAAUCAUCCACCCAAAAAAAUUAGCAUAUCUUAUUGAUACCUAAGAGAUGAUUAAAUUUCAUUCCCCAAUACCUAUAAUUCUAAUAGUUUUCAGUUUCGAUUUAGAAUCACUUUAGUUUUAUGUGUGAAGCCUUCCUUUUAUCAAUUGCUGUAGUAUUGGUUGAAUAGGAAUGAAGGAAUUUGCAUUUGCUUUAGUUGAAUAUAGGAAGCCUUCUUUUGGAGUGGAAGCCUUUUCAAUUUCUAAAAUAUAAUAUUGAAUCUGCUUUAAGUUCUAGGACAUAGGUAUGCCAUGGCUUUUGACAUCAAGAAAGGGGACAAAACUGUAAGUGAAAAAUAAUCAUGGUUUGGGUUUGAAUUGUGUUAUUUUAUUUUUCAUUAUAAAUGUUUUUAUAACAAUUUAGGAAUCCAUUUUAGAGAUUGGUGUGAAACUUGAUCAGUUGUAAAAUGUGACUCCAUUGUUCCAUAUUUUAAUAUAAAUAAAUGACUAUGUAUGUACUUACUAGCAUUAUUUUGCAGGUGUUGACUUUUAAUCCAUUGACUUAUGGAAUAUAGGAGAGAAUGCGAUACAUCUUUACACAUAAGUGAUUACGUAUGAAACACUUCUUUCAAAUAUAAAUGACUAUCUAUGUACUUAGCUUUCCUUACAGUUUUCUAGAACAAGCCACAUCCACACUUACAUGGAAUCCAUCAAACUAUAAUCUCGUUACCUUUUCAAAUGGAAGAAGUGCCUAUUUAUCAAAUGCAAAACAAGACCAAGGUUUAUUAUGAUAGAAAUUGGGUUAAGCUUAAUAUAGUUCCCCUUCAAAGAAGUAAUACUUAUCUACCUAAUUAUUUUUUUAAUUUUUAAUUUUUAAUUUUUAUAAUUUUGGGAGGCUAUUGAUUUCCAUUUAAAAUAUUGAAGCCUAUAAUAUCAUGUCAUAAGCUUAGAAGAAUGAAGAUUACCUUGAAAUUUUUCUUAGAUGCACCACAUUUGAUAGGAUCCGCAUAUAUUUUUUCCAGUUUUCAUGUUAAUCAUUGAGUUUUUUGAAUUUAUUCACUAUUUUGGUGUUAAUAUUUUCUUAUUAUUGCAAGAAGAAUGGAAUCAAACUUCAAGGAUUAUUGUUCUUUCAGGUUGAACUAUGGCAACAUGACUUGAGUGGAAGGUGGAGAGAGGAGCAGUAGUUAUAUAUUGGAUGGGGUAGGUUUAAAAAUUGGAAAAUUGUAGUAAAUAGCAUGCAACGUAUCUAACUCUCAGUAUCAUCAUGUGCAAUAUACUUGACAUUUUGACCAGUAAUAGCAUUGUACAUGUACUUUUCACCCAUACACAACCACAAAACUACAUUUUCAUUGAUAAUAGCUUUAUACAUUAGAUUUAUACCGAUAAAAACAACAUACAUAUAUAAUACAUACGACGCCAAUAUCAACAAUGUUCUUUAUUUGUUUUCACAUUCUUUGAGUUUAUAAUUAUAAGUAGGUUUAUAUUAUUGGAAAAAUUUGUAAGUACAAUGUUAUCAUGUAAAGAAAAUGCAUGCUGCUAUUAUGGGUAAGAAAUUUUAAUUACAUUGUUAUUCUGGUUUUCAAAAAUUGUAAGUACAAUGUUAUCAUGUAAAGAAAAUG